CCGGUCAAGAAGGUACAGGUACCUAUGGAGCCAGACGCCGUAGUCGACUCUCAGUUAAGACCUCCUGACCCCCUCAAUCCACUUCAGUCCAGUGAAUCAGGUUUCUGAAGAAAGAACAAGAAACUGAAACCCGGCUCAGCCAUAUCUCUUUUAGGGCUCUCUCUGGACUUUCCUCCCAGGCCAGAACAAUGGCGGGCCCAGGAGCCCAGCUUCCCCACAGGCCCCAGCGAGAGGAGGCCGGGGGCUGGGUACUGAGGGAGCUGCUCGGCAUGCUGAAAUAUGGAGGCGACAGAUAAGGUGGCAGCGGCACAGAGAGGCCCUCUCCCAUGGGCCCAAGGGGAAAUUUGCAGUUAUUAAGAGGAAGAUGAGAGAGAUUAAAUGGCUUUUGUACUCAU
Perca flavescens (yellow perch) is the source of this 395-nucleotide long non-coding RNA. RefSeq lists it as uncharacterized. The record is from RefSeq and is a predicted model, not a curated record. The transcript has 2 exons. Lineage: Eukaryota; Metazoa; Chordata; Actinopteri; Perciformes; Percidae.